Molecule: long non-coding RNA, 1275 nt
Filed under: Homo sapiens (human)
Lineage: Eukaryota; Metazoa; Chordata; Mammalia; Primates; Hominidae
Description: HSALNT0318788
Source: RNAcentral
CCUGCCUCAGCCUCCCAAGUAGCUGGGACUGCAGGCACAGGUCACCAUACUUGGCUAGUUUUUGUAUUUUUAGUAGAGAUGAGGCUUCACCAUGUUGCCCAGGGUCGUCUUGAACUACUGGACUCAAGUGAUCCAACUGCCUUGGCCUCCUAAAUUGCUGGGAUUACAGGCAUGAGCCACUGUGCCCGGCCAUUUUUUUUUUUAAUUAAAAAAUUUUUAUUUCUUUUUUGAGGCAAGGUCUCACUCCAUCUCUCAGGCUGGAGUGCAGUGACAUGAUCACAGCUCACUGCACCCUCAACUUUCAGGGCUCAGGUGAUCGUCCCACUUCAGCCUCCCAGGUAGCUGGGACCACAGGCAUGCACCACCAUCCCCAGCUAAUUUUUGGUAUUUUUUAAGAGACAAGACCUUGCCAUGUUGCCCAGGAUGGUCUCAAACUCCUGGGCUCAAGCCAUCCACCCACUUCGGCCUCCCAAAGUGUGGGGAUUACAGACAUGAGUCACCAUGCCUGGCAGUUUCUAUUUUUCAUAGUGAUGAGGUAUGGCUUUGUUGCCCAGACUCUUCUUAAGCUCCUGGGUUCAAGCCAUCCUCCUAACUUGGCCUGCCAGAGUGUUGGUGAGGCCAGAGAAUAGAGUCUGGAGGCAGGGAACUUGAGAACAAUUUGUGCUGACUUCCUAAAGCUGAAUCAAGGGAAAACAUCAAGUUCUGGGGGCCAGGAAUCUAAGCCCAAUUCAUGAAAAUUUCCUAAGGUGAAAUCAGAGGGGAAAUACUUGGGUCUGGGAGCAGGAACCCUAAGGCCAAUUGGCAGGAACUUCCUAAAGCUACACCAAAAGGAAAAACUCAAUCUCCCCAGGCCCAAGUAACAAAGGAUCAAAGGCUACUUACUCUCCUACAACUUCCCUCCUUCCCCCAGGAUAGAGAGGGAGAGUGCCCUGGAGCGGAAGGGGACUGAGGAAGCACUACCCCUUCAUCUGCAUAGGGCAUCAAUCUGCUCCAGCCUUGGGUUAGCCACCGGCCAAUUCACCUCAGCCUUUAAUUAGCCACAGGCCAAAUCUUUCAUCCAGAUAAGAGGUAGCUGAUAGGAACCUCAAACGGACUACUUAAACCCCCACAAACUUUGUAGGUGGGGUCCUUGAGCUGCUUGCUUCAUUCUACUCCUACCCUAUGGAGUGCUUUCUUUUCUUUUUUCUUUCUUUUCUUUGAGAUGGAAUCUCGCCCUGUCGCCCAGGUUGGAGUGCAAUGGUGCAAUCUUGGCUUACUGCAACUUCUGCCUCCCGG